GCGAUCAUACCAGCACUAAUGCUCCGGAUCCCAUCAGAACUACGAAGUUAAGCGUGCUUGGGCGAGAGCUGUACUAGGAUGGGUGGCGAGAGCUGUACUAGGAUGGGUGACCCCCCUGGGAAGUCCUCGUGUUGCACCU
RNAcentral lists this ribosomal RNA (139 nucleotides) under Zingiber officinale. Lineage: Eukaryota; Viridiplantae; Streptophyta; Magnoliopsida; Zingiberales; Zingiberaceae. The record is from RNAcentral.